This 253-nucleotide ribosomal RNA is filed under the name Agathobaculum desmolans. Its description in RNAcentral is "partial 16S ribosomal RNA". It matches the Rfam family "Bacterial small subunit ribosomal RNA", at positions 524 to 776 of the family's 1533-position model. The record is from RNAcentral. Lineage: Bacteria; Bacillati; Bacillota; Clostridia; Eubacteriales; Butyricicoccaceae.
UACGUAGGGAGCAAGCGUUAUCCGGAUUUACUGGGUGUAAAGGGCGCGCAGGCGGGCCGGCAAGUUGGAAGUGAAAUCUAUGGGCUUAACCCAUAAACUGCUUUCAAAACUGUUGGUCUUGAGUAAUGGAGAGGCAGGCGGAAUUCCGUGUGUAGCGGUGAAAUGCGUAGAUAUACGGAGGAACACCAGUGGCGAAGGCGGCCUGCUGGACAUUAACUGACGCUGAGGCGCGAAAGCGUGGGGAGCAAACAGG